This is a long non-coding RNA of Camponotus floridanus (Florida carpenter ant), 245 nucleotides long. RefSeq lists it as uncharacterized. Lineage: Eukaryota; Metazoa; Arthropoda; Insecta; Hymenoptera; Formicidae. The record is from RefSeq and is a predicted model, not a curated record. The transcript has 3 exons.
CUUUUCAGAAAUGCAAAAAAUGACACACGAGAAGCAAGAAAGUCGAAAAGUUGUAAAAGGGAACGUAACAGCUCGACCAACAAUUGUAUCACAACUGAUUAUUCUUCCUUCCACGAGCAAUGAUGACACUAAUGUAUUAAAUAUAAUACAAAAUAAAGAAAAUAUUGAAAAUAAUUCAAUGACAUUGGAGCAUUCAUUUUGUUGUGAAAAAUGCCGCAAAAAUUACUUGGUCAAAUUUGUGACAA